Gasterosteus aculeatus aculeatus (three-spined stickleback) is the source of this 465-nucleotide long non-coding RNA. The record is from Ensembl. Lineage: Eukaryota; Metazoa; Chordata; Actinopteri; Perciformes; Gasterosteidae.
AGAAGAAGAAGCACCAGCAGGGGCUUGGAGGGCACCACUAGAUAAUGCUCCGCACCCUGUACACGGCAGAUGGGAAAGAUCCAGGGUGGCACCACACCCGUUUCCACAGGGUCAUCCCAACCAUUAGACCGCCAACAUCAGUCUUCAAACACCCUCCCAGCGCACUCAAUGCACACCCUCAAUGGACACCCCACCCCAGCUGGAAUCGUGCCUUUCAACAUCUAGUCAAAGGAAUGGGAAAAGUUCUCUGUGGACGGUUGCCACGCUACACCAGCACCUAACCCCACCUCCCCCGCCAACCCGCCGCUUUCCUCCAGUCGAUAUCUGCCCACAGCAGGUGCCGCGCACCAAAGAUAGCGGCGAUAUUGUAAAGGGAAGUAUUGGAAACCCUUAUUUAUACUCUGCUCACAUAACUGUCAUUCAUCUUUUUCUGGGCAAAGCCCAUCGACACAACUUAUUAUCAGC